GUAGGGAAUAUUGCGCAAUGGAGGCAACUCUGACGCAGCCAUGCCGCGUGCAGGAAGAAGGCGCUACGCGUUGUAAACUGCUUUUAACCGGGAAGAAACCCCAGGACGUGUCCUGGGUUGACGGUACCGGAGGAAUAAGCACCGGCUAACUUCGUGCCAGCAGCCGCGGUAAUACGAAGGGUGCAAGCGUUAUCCGGAUUCAUUGGGUUUAAAGGGUGCGUAGGCGGAGCGUUAAGUCAGUGGUGAAAUCCUGCAGCUUAACUGUAGACUUGCCAUUGAUACUGGCGCUCUUGAGUGCGCUUGAAGUGGGCGGAAUGUGCCGUGUAGCGGUGAAAUGCUUAGAUAUGGCACAGAACACCAAUUGCGAAGGCAGCUCACUAAGGCGAUACUGACGCUGAGGCACGAAAGCGUGGGGAUCGAACAGGAUUAGAAACCCCGGUAGUCC
Molecule: ribosomal RNA, 445 nt
Filed under: uncultured bacterium
Lineage: Bacteria
Description: partial 16S ribosomal RNA
Rfam family: Bacterial small subunit ribosomal RNA
Source: RNAcentral